Globicephala melas (long-finned pilot whale) is the source of this 475-nucleotide long non-coding RNA. RefSeq lists it as uncharacterized. The record is from RefSeq and is a predicted model, not a curated record. Lineage: Eukaryota; Metazoa; Chordata; Mammalia; Artiodactyla; Delphinidae.
GUGGAUGGAUUGAUGGUGGGGAAAGUUUUCUUGCUGACAGAAUCAUGCCACUCAUUGUUUAUGAAGAUCUACAAUGAGAAGGAAGAAAGUCCUCAGGACCAGCUCUCAACCUGAUACUGACCACCAGCCAUGUUUUAAAAAAAAAAUCAGAAAGAACAAAUAGGAAUUAGCUUCAGAGGGAUGUGGCCUAGAAGUUAAAAGCACAGGCCUUGGAGACAAUCCAAGCUGGAGCACCCACUCUGCCAAGUACUGUGGAGCUGUGUCCCUGAAACCCACCAAGGAUGAGAAAUGUUGAUCUUCAUGAAGCCUGGCCAUCAUCAGCUCCCCAUACAGGUCCUGCUGAUCGAAACAGGGGCCCCCUGCAGUGGAAGCGUGGAGUCUUAACCACUGGACCAGCAGGUAAGUCCAAGGGUUACUUUUAGGAUCUCAAAAAAAUCUGAUAAAGAAAAGCAGCUGCAGGAAGAUUUCACUCUGC